GAGUUUGAUCCUGGCUCAGAUUGAACGCUGGCGGCAUGCCUUACACAUGCAAGUCGAACGGCAGCACGGGAGCUUGCUCCUGGUGGCGAGUGGCGAACGGGUGAGUAAUGCAUCGGAACGUAUCCUGGAGUGGGGGAUAACGUAGCGAAAGUUACGCUAAUACCGCAUAUUCUGUGAGCAGGAAAGCGGGGGACCUUCGGGCCUCGCGCUCUUGGAGCGGCCGAUGUCGGAUUAGCUAGUUGGUGAGGUAAAGGCUCACCAAGGCGACGAUCCGUAGCAGGUCUGGAGA
This 289-nucleotide ribosomal RNA is filed under the name bacterium enrichment culture clone ALO1_GLFRUDD03GLR9B. Its description in RNAcentral is "partial 16S ribosomal RNA". It matches the Rfam family "Bacterial small subunit ribosomal RNA", at positions 9 to 297 of the family's 1533-position model. The record is from RNAcentral.